GGAUGUGAUCAUACCAGCACUAAUACACCGGAUCCCAUCAGAACACCGUAGUUAAGCGUGCUUGGGCGAGAGUAGUACUAAGAUGGGUGACCUCCCGGGAAGUCCUUGUCUUGCAUCCC
This is a ribosomal RNA of Arabidopsis thaliana (thale cress), 119 nucleotides long. NCBI's taxonomy places the organism in Eukaryota, Viridiplantae, Streptophyta, Magnoliopsida, Brassicales, Brassicaceae. The record is from Rfam.